Molecule: ribosomal RNA, 760 nt
Filed under: marine metagenome
Description: bacterial SSU rRNA
Rfam family: Bacterial small subunit ribosomal RNA
Source: RNAcentral
GAGGACGAAAGCAUGGGUAGCGAAGAGGAUUAGAUACCCUCGUAGUCCAUGCCGUAAACGAUGUGUGUUAGACGUUGGAAAUUUAUUUUCAGUGUCGCAGCGAAAGCGAUAAACACACCGCCUGGGGAGUACGACCGCAAGGUUAAAACUCAAAUGAAUUGACGGGGACCCGCACAAGUAGUGGAGCAUGUGGUUUAAUUCGAAGAUACGCGCAGAACCUUACCAACACUUGACAUGUUCGUCGCGACUUUAAGAGAUUAAAGUUUUCGGUUCGGCCGGACGAAACACAGGUGCUGCAUGGCUGUCGUCAGCUCGUGUCGUGAGAUGUUGGGUUAAGUCCCGCAACGAGCGCAACCCUCACUUUUAGUUGCCAUCAUUAAGUUGGGCACUCUGAAAGAACUGCCAGUGAUAAGCUGGAGGAAGGUGGGGAUGACGUCAAGUCCUCAUGGCCCUUACGUGUUGGGCUACACACGUGCUACAAUGGUAUCUACAACAGGAAGCAAAACGGCGACGUUAAGCAAAUCCUUAAAAGAUACCUCAGUUCGGAUUGCACUCUGCAACUCGAGUGCAUGAAGCUGGAAUUACUAGUAAUCGUGGAUCAGCGUGCCACGGUGAAUGCGUUCCCGGGUCUUGUACACACCGCCCGUCACACCAUGGGAGUUGGUUCUACCUUAAGGCAAGGUUUCAAACCCUUGACCACGGUAUAGUCAGCGACUGGGGUGAAGUCGUAACAAGGUAGCCGUAGGGGAACCUGCGGCUG